RNAcentral lists this long non-coding RNA (2596 nucleotides) under Homo sapiens (human). Its description in RNAcentral is "HSALNT0096722". Lineage: Eukaryota; Metazoa; Chordata; Mammalia; Primates; Hominidae. The record is from RNAcentral.
CACUGUCUGAGGUCUUCAUAUGGUUUUCUCAUUGAAUCCUCACCGCACCCCAUGAGUUUCAUUCCAGGCCAACAAAGUGAUGUUGGAGAGGAGGCAUUCUGAAAUCCCCAGCAAGUCCAGAUGGGUAACCUGGGCUGUUCAGGACCAGUUACAGGCACAGAGGCAGCACAUGCAAAACGAGCCCGAACACCAGUGCCAGCCCUUCCACUAGAGCUGCAGGGGUGCCUUUAUUUUAUCUUCUCAUUUUUCCUCUUCUGAAAAAAUCUCUGCUGCUUUAUCUGAGAGGUGUUUUCCAGAAGCUGAAGGUUGAUGCUGAACUGCUGAAGCUGGAGGAGCCAGAUGACAAAGAGCAUGUUCUAGGCUUGAAUCCAAACAGACUUUUCAAGAUCUCUAAAUUCCUUCAGAGAUGCUUAGAGGGAUAGAAUGCAGCUGAAUCACAGUCUCCCAACCAGAUCUUCCUUACCCGUGCUGAAUAAUCUGGAGAUGGUGCUGGCAAAAGUCAGUAGAGACAGAGAGAGCUCAAAGCUCCCAGGAGCAUCCUGAUUCUGGCAGAAGCAGGAGCAGAGAGUUUAGAAUCAUGAGAUCAUCAUAAACCCCCUUCUUGGAAGAUCUCAGGACCUCAGACCACAGAAAUUACCCUCCACUUCAGUUUUGCCAUCCAUCAUACUAAGGCAGAAACACAUCUCACCUUCCUGCUACUCAAGAAUUGGCAAAUAAAGGCAAAAUCUCGCCCCUCUCUGAGAUUCUCAAAGAACAGUGUUUGACUCUGUUCAGUGGGGUUUUCCAGGGCCAAAAAUGCCUGUGGGAUUGAUUUUGGAGUCCCAGCAACCCUCAUCUCUUAGUCCUUAUAUUGCAUGCAGGUCCACAGGAAGAGAGGGUUGGCACUCAAAGGAUCACAGUUUCUAUCCCACGUCAUCACUCUUACUGACCACUCUGGCUCUGGGGAUGCUGCAUCUCUCUGAAAUCCACCCAGUUGCGGGAAAUACUGAGAGUUUAGGCCUACUUCCCAUUAUCUGAAUAAAAUAGAUAACAUCGUUUUUUCUUUUCCAAGAAAAUGGAAAUCAAGCCCACUGUUUUGUGUUAUCAGUUUAACCGCUGAGUUGAGGUGUCACCAGCAAGUACUGAGCUUUAACUGUUUCCAAAUGGGGCUUCUGAGAGGCACUGAGUUGGCAUCUACCAAGGACUUGGUCUACACAUAGAGGGAAGACAGAGACCAGGAAACACUCAUCUUUCUGCAAUUCAACUCUGGGCUCCAUCUUGAAGGAAAUGAAUGCAUGAAGAACAUUCUUAACCUAGUAUGUCUACGGCCAUACCACCCUAGGCGUGCCCAAUCUCGUCUGAACCCAGUACGUGACAUGCCCUAUGCUGAUGCUUUCAUAUGCGUUACCUUAUUUAAUCCUCAUGACUUCCACAUUAAUAAUAAUUACCUAUGAUGUGAGAGGGUCAUUAUACCAAUUUUAUGAAGAAAAUAUGGCUCAAAGAAAUAAUUUUUAAGUAGCAACACCAACAUUUGGAAUCUUCUUGAAACUUCUAACUCCUAGAAGACCACCAUGCUGUAUUUUUGGUCUACAAAUUUAAAUGGAAUAGUAUCUAAUGUUGGGGAAAACGGGAGGAAUGAAGGGUGACUGCUAAAGAGUACAGGAUUUCUUUUAGUGGUGAUGAAAAUGUUCUAAAAUUGACAGUGAUGACCAUUGCUCAACUCCAUGAGGACUCUAAAAUUCAUUGAAUUGUAUAUUUUAAAUGGGUGAAUUGUAUGGCAUGUGAGUUAUAACCACACAGAGCUGUUACAAAUAAGUAAUAUUUAAUGGAGGCCUCUUCCCACCCUACUCUACAACAGUCACAAAAACCUCUCAAUUUUCCCAUAUAUCCUGAAGUAGAAGGGCUUGCCUUUUAUCUCUUUGUAAUUUUAUGUAGUGGACAAUAAACAAAUGGCUGAUUGUAAUGAUGAAAAAGAUCCAAAUUUCUCCAGUAAAGUUGGGGGAGAAAUGCCCAGUUACAAGCAGCUGAAUGGAGGUCAGAGAGAACCAUAAUCCCAGAUAAAAAAUAAGCAGGCAAAAUUUUCUGUAGCACAAUCCCUCUCUCAUUUCAAGAAUCUGCCCACACGCUCCUCACACCUCCUCCUCUCCUGUCACUACCACCAUGAUCUUGUGGUUACACAAUUUCAUUCAGAGUCAAAAUUAGAAAUUAACUAAAGAAGCUAUGGUAUGGUAUUUUAUUCUAAGAUGUCAUCUCUUUUCAAAUGAAUCAUCAAUUUAAUAACAGUUUUCCAAGUGUUAAAAAUGUGGGGUAAAAAUGCAUUUUAGAAUCAAAGAAAUGUACUAAUCCCUAUGAAGAUGGUAAUCCAAUUAAAGUGUAAUUUCUCCAUAUUUGAAGACAUUUUCAGUGCAUGAAAAUGCUUUUUAGAAUCAGAGGGCUAAUGAAUGUUUAAUGAUGUAAAUCUAUGCCUGACACAAUAGAAGAACGACUGGUGUUUAUUGUUUAGGAUGGAGGGGGCCGCUUCCCAGAAUCUAUCGAAUGCCCAAAGCCUGUGCCCUCCCCAUUCAUUUUUCUGGGCUGAACCCUCACUCUCAUUUUCAAGGUUAACAGGGGAAGUAGA